AACGAACGCUGGCGGUAUGCCUAACACAUGCAAGUCGCACGAGAAAGUACUUCGGUAUGAGUAGAGUGGCGCACGGGUGAGUAACACGUAGGUGACCUUCCGAAUAGUGGGGGAUAACUCGGAGAAAUCCGGGCUAAUACCGCAUAUGUACGACAAAUCUGAGAGUAGUCGUAGAAAGAAUGCCUCUACUUGUAAGCAUUCGCUAAUCGAUGGGCCUGCGGAGCAUUAGCUAGUUGGUGGGGUAAUGGCCUACCAAGGCUACGAUGCUUAACGGAUCUGAGAGGAUGAUCCGUCACACUGGAACUGAGACACGGUCCAGACUCCUACGGGAGGCAGCAGUGGGGAAUAUUGCGCAAUGGACGCAAGUCUGACGCAGCAAUACCGCGUGAGUGAGGAAGGCCU
RNAcentral lists this ribosomal RNA (402 nucleotides) under uncultured bacterium. RNAcentral's name for it is "bacterial SSU rRNA". It matches the Rfam family "Bacterial small subunit ribosomal RNA", at positions 29 to 417 of the family's 1533-position model. The record is from RNAcentral.